UACGUAGGGUGCAAGCGUUGUCCGGAAUUAUUGGGCGUAAAGCGCAUGUAGGCGGAUCCAUAAGUCGGGCGUGAAAUCCCCAGGCUCAACCUGGGAACUGCGCUCGAAACUGUGGGUCUCGAGUGUCGGAGAGGAUGGCGGAAUUCCUGGUGUAGAGGUGAAAUUCGUAGAUAUCUGGAGGAAUACCGGUGGCGAAGGCGGCAUCCUGGACCGGCAUUGACGCUGAUACAGCGAAAGCUAGGGGAGCAAACGGG
RNAcentral lists this ribosomal RNA (254 nucleotides) under uncultured bacterium. Its description in RNAcentral is "partial 16S ribosomal RNA". It matches the Rfam family "Bacterial small subunit ribosomal RNA", at positions 524 to 776 of the family's 1533-position model. The record is from RNAcentral.